AUACUUAGCUGACAGGGGAGAUACCAUGAUCAUGAAGUUGGUUUUUCCAGGAUGAGAUUUACCCAUUGCACUCCGGAUGUGCUGACCCCUUCGAUUUCCGCAAAUGUGGGAAACUUGACUGCAUAAUUUGUGGUAGUGGGGGACUGCGUUCAUGCUCUCCUCUA
Molecule: small nuclear RNA, 164 nt
Gene: U1
Rfam family: U1 spliceosomal RNA
About the family: U1 is a small nuclear RNA (snRNA) component of the spliceosome (involved in pre-mRNA splicing). Its 5' end forms complementary base pairs with the 5' splice junction, thus defining the 5' donor site of an intron.
Source: Ensembl